CCUACGGGUGGCAGCAGUGGGGAAUAUUGGGCAAUGGGCGCAAGCCUGACCCAGCAACGCCGCGUGAAGGAAGAAGGCUUUCCGGUUGUAAACUUCUUUUGUCAGGGACGAAGCAAGUGACGGUACCUGACGCAUAAGCCACGGCUAACUACGUGCCAGCAGCCGCGGCAAUACGUAGGUGGCAAGCGUUAUCCGGAUUUAUUGGGUGUAAAGGGCGUGUAGGCGGGAAUGCAAGUCAGAUGUGAAAACUAUGGGCUCAACCCAUAGACUGCAUUUGAAACUGUAUUUCUUGAGUGCUGGGGAGGCAGGCGGAAUUCCGGGUGUAGCGGUGAAAUGCGUAGAUAUACGGAGGAACACCAGUGGCGAAGGCGGAUUGCUGGACAGUAACUGACGCUGAGGCGCGAAAGCGUUGGGAGCAAACAGGAUUAGAUACCCCGGUAGUC
Molecule: ribosomal RNA, 443 nt
Filed under: uncultured bacterium
Lineage: Bacteria
Description: partial 16S ribosomal RNA
Rfam family: Bacterial small subunit ribosomal RNA
Source: RNAcentral